This 1183-nucleotide ribosomal RNA is filed under the name uncultured fungus. RNAcentral's name for it is "eukaryotic LSU rRNA". The stretch from base 550 to 1183 matches the Rfam family "Eukaryotic large subunit ribosomal RNA", at positions 1 to 649 of the family's 3401-position model. The record is from RNAcentral. Lineage: Eukaryota; Fungi.
AAGUCGUAACAAGGUUUCCGUAGGUGAACCUGCGGAAGGAUCAUUAAAAGUAAUAAGUGCCCCCGGCGCGUAUUAUGUAACCCAUCUGUGUAUCUUACCUGUUGCUUCCGUGGGUCGUUGGCUUCGGCCACUCCUCAAAUGCGGGGAACCCACGGGAGGUCUACAUCAAACCUUUGCUCUCAAUGAUAUCUGUCUGAAUUGUCUCAAUGAGAAAAGUUAAAACUUUCAACAACGGAUCUCUUGGUUCUCGCAUCGAUGAAGAACGCAGCGAAAUGCGAUAAGUAGUGUGAAUUGCAGAAUUCAGUGAAUCAUCGAAUCUUUGAACGCACAUUGCGCCUCCUGGUAUUCCGGGAGGCAUGCCUGUUCGAGCGUCAUUAAAAACCACUCAAGCGUGUUUGCUUGGACUUGGAGGAAGAGCAGCGCCCUCGUGGCGGGUUCCCCUCUGAAAUAUAAUGGCGGAUGAUCCACGAGGACACGGACGUAGUAAGAGCAAUCUCUCGCCGUGCCCUCUGGAUCAUCCCGCCCUCAAUCCCCAAUCACAAUCAUGGUUGACCUCGGAUCAGGUAGGGAUACCCGCUGAACUUAAGCAUAUCAAUAAGCGGAGGAAAAGAAANCAACAGGGAUUGCCUCAGUAACUGCGAGUGAAGCGGCAAAAGCUCAAAUUUGAAAUCUGGCUCCUUCGGGGUCCGAGNUGUAAUUUGGAGGGGCAUCUUCGGGAUCGGCGCCGUCCUAAGUUCCUUGGAACAGGACGUCACAGAGGGUGAGAAUCCCGUGCCUGGGCGGCUGCCCGAUUCCAUGUGAAGUGCCUCCGACGAGUCGAGUUGUUUGGGAAUGCAGCUCAAAAUGGGUGGUAAAUUUCAUCUAAAGCUAAAUAUUGGCGAGAGACCGAUAGCGCACAAGUAGAGUGAUCGAAAGAUGAAAAGCACUUUGAAAAGAGAGUUAAAAAGUACGUGAAAUUGUUGAAAGGGAAGCGCUUGCGACCAGACUCGGUCUUUGGGGGUCAUCCGGGUUUCGGCCUGGUGCCAUCCCCAUUGAUCGGGCCAGCAUCGGUUCCGGCGGCGGGGUAAAAGGCGAGGGAAUGUGGCUCUCUUCGGGGAGUGUUAUAGCCCUUGCCACAAUGCCGCCAGCUGGGACCGAGGACCGCGCUUCGGCUAGGAUGCUGGCGUAAUGGUCUUAAGCGACC